Molecule: long non-coding RNA, 140 nt
Filed under: Bos indicus x Bos taurus (hybrid cattle)
Lineage: Eukaryota; Metazoa; Chordata; Mammalia; Artiodactyla; Bovidae
Description: lncRNA (ENSBIXG00000025654.1)
Source: RNAcentral
GGACAAGUGGCUCUGGACAGAGCAGUGGCAAUUUAAUGAGUAGAAAUCCUCCAUGUUCUAUUUUUAGGCCUGCCAACCCAGAGGGAGAGCUUCACAUCAGACCUCCCAACAUACUGUAGCUGGAAGUCAGUAAGGAUUCC